Molecule: unclassified non-coding RNA, 335 nt
Filed under: soil metagenome
Description: partial contains 5.8S ribosomal RNA, internal transcribed spacer 2, and large subunit ribosomal RNA
Rfam family: 5.8S ribosomal RNA (bases 1-120)
Source: RNAcentral
GAUGAAGAACGUAGCGAAAUGCGAUAAGUAAUGUGAAUUGCAGAAUUCAGUGAAUCAUCGAAUCUUUGAACGCACAUUGCGCCCGCCAGUAUUCUGGCGGGCAUGCCUGUUCGAGCGUCAUUUCAACCAUCAAGCCCCAGGCUUGUGUUGGGGACCUGCGGCUGCCGCAGGCCCUGAAAACCAGUGGCGGGCUCGCUGUCACACCGGGCGUAGUAGAUUUUAUCUCGCUCUGGGCGUGCUGCGGGUUCCGGCCGUUAAAAAACCCUUUUAACCCAAGGUUGACCUCGGAUCAGGUAGGAAUACCCGCUGAACUUAAGCAUACAAUAAGCGGAGGA